GUAACCGGCAUUAUAAAAUGGUUUUAUUAAUUAUUAAUAACUAUUUAAUGUGUACACAGUUAUCCAUGAAGAAAUAGGAAAUACCAGUGAGUUGUUACCAGCGUUGCCCCAGGCUGGGAGAGCCCUUCCAGCUUUCCUUUGGCCUCUGACACCCCUGCCCCACUGACCGCCCACCCCCCAUUCCUGUCUGGAAGGCUCGCCUGCCAUCAUCCCGCACAUCCGACAGCUCUCCCUUCAGGGUCACCUCCUCCUUGGACAAAGCAUACGUGACCCCUUGUCAGGUUUCUUGGCUGGGUGCUCCCCCAGAGUUUGGCUCCUGCCCCCAACCAAGCAUGCAUGGUGACAAUGCACCCACUUGAUAACUGAUCACUGGUGUCACUUCCACCUCCCUCCCUCCAUGAGCGCAAACCUCCGGUUAAUACAGUUGGGUCAGCCCAGGGUCCUCGGUGUCCCCAGAGUCUGCCAUGCCUGGUGCUGGGCAGAUACUCAAUAAACACCCAAAAUCAGGCCGGGCUCAGUGGCUCACACCUGUGACCUCAGCACUUUGGGAAGCUGAGGCAGGGAGGAUGGCUUGAGCCUAGAAGUUCAAGACCAGCCUGGGCAACAUAGCAAGACCCCUGUCUCUACUUUUUUUUCUUUUUUUUUUUGAGACGGAAUCUCGCUCUGUCGCCCAGGCUGGAGUGCAGUGGCGUGAUCUCGCCUCACUGCAAGCUCCGCCUCCAGAUUCACGUCAUUCUCCUGCCUCAGCCCCUCGAGUAGCUGAGGUGGGAGAAUCGCUUGAACCUGGGAGGUGAAUGUUGUAGUGAGCUGAGAUCGCGCCACUGUACUCCAGUCUAGGCAACAGAGACUCUAUCUCAGAAAAGAAAAGAAAAAAAAUAAUUGGAAAUGGGUUGCUGAGGACAUGUGCCCCUGCUCCCUGCUGAGCUCCCAGUGUGCCCCUCCCCUCCUGAAUUGGUAGGAGAUUCUGCUCUCACCUCUGCAGGCGAUCACUGCUCACUGCAAUUCAGUCACUAGUGCCUGCACCUGACCCCAUUUUUGUUUGCCACCCCCGCAGCCAGCCCGUAUUUGUGAUCACGGCCCUGUGAUCAGAGUCUCAGGAAACACUUGUGCAUGGGGCAGAGCAAUCCUUGCUGCCUGCAAGGAAACCAGACAAGGCUGUGCUGAUGGAAAAUCGGCUGUAGUUACAUGGGCAAGAAUCAGAGUUCAAGUCUAGGAACCCCUGGUUUUUAGGCAGAGGACAUCAAGGCAGAGGAUGUCAAAGCUGAAGUGAGGCAUUACAAUCCCCCAUCAUGACAACCGGUGGGCCUUGUGAAAUUUAGCACAGGUCCUCCCGGCUCCAGUUGGCCACAGCCUGCCAUGGAAGCCCAAGUGCCUCUGGGCACUCCAAAUAUCACUGCAUCUGGGAAAGCAGCAGACAGCGUGGCCAUGCAGUGCAACAGGGUAGUGGGGAUGCCUGUCACAUCUCCGAUGCAGAGGCAGCCCCUGG
RNAcentral lists this long non-coding RNA (1486 nucleotides) under Homo sapiens (human). RNAcentral's name for it is "HSALNT0276909". Lineage: Eukaryota; Metazoa; Chordata; Mammalia; Primates; Hominidae. The record is from RNAcentral.